RNAcentral lists this non-coding RNA (29 nucleotides) under Mus musculus (house mouse). Lineage: Eukaryota; Metazoa; Chordata; Mammalia; Rodentia; Muridae. The record is from RNAcentral.
UAUUAGAGCAAGGGACUUGAUCAAAAUGC